RNAcentral lists this ribosomal RNA (253 nucleotides) under uncultured bacterium. RNAcentral's name for it is "partial 16S ribosomal RNA". It matches the Rfam family "Bacterial small subunit ribosomal RNA", at positions 524 to 776 of the family's 1533-position model. The record is from RNAcentral.
UACGUAGGUGGCAAGCGUUGUCCGGAAUUAUUGGGCGUAAAGCGCGCGCAGGCGGCCUCCUAAGUCCGAUGUGAAAGCCCACGGCUCAACCGUGGAGGGUCAUUGGAAACUGGGGGACUUGAGUGCAGGAGAGAAGAGUGGAAUUCCACGUGUAGCGGUGAAAUGCGUAGAGAUGUGGAGGAACACCAGUGGCGAAGGCGACUCUUUGGCCUGUAACUGACGCUGAGGCGCGAAAGCCAGGGGAGCAAACGGG